Molecule: ribosomal RNA, 468 nt
Filed under: uncultured bacterium
Lineage: Bacteria
Description: partial 16S ribosomal RNA
Rfam family: Bacterial small subunit ribosomal RNA
Source: RNAcentral
GACGAACGCUGGCGGCGUGCUUAACACAUGCAAGUCGAACGGAAAGGCCCUGCUUUUGUGGGGUGCUCGAGUGGCGAACGGGUGAGUAACACGUGAGUAACCUGCCCUUGACUUUGGGAUAACUUCAGGAAACUGGGGCUAAUACCGGAUAGGAGCUCCUGCUGCAUGGUGGGGGUUGGAAAGUUUCGGCGGUUGGGGAUGGACUCGCGGCUUAUCCGCUUGUUGGUGGGGUAGGGGCUGACCAAGGCUUUGACGGGUAGCCGGCCUGAGAGGUUUAACGGCGACAAUGGGACUGAGAGAGGGACCAGAAUGCUACGGGAGGCAGAAGUGGGGAAUAUUGCACAAUGGGCGGAAGCCUGAUGCAGCAACGCCGCGUGCGGGAUGACGGCCUUCGGGUUGUAAACCGCUUUCGCCUGUGACGAAGCGUGAGUGACGGUAAUGGGUAAAGAAGCACCGGCUAACUACGUG